UUUCCUUUGUUGUCCUCUUGUUCCAGGUUAGAAUAAAACUGGUCAAGAGUCAAGAUGACAUUCAGGGUGUUUCUCCAGGCAGCUGCUUGAUGGCUUCAGGGGGGAAAGGCAACAUGCACCCGGGACAAGAGAUGCACCAACAGCUCGGAUUUUCUGCUGCAGAACACACCUGGAAUGCUGUGAACACUGGAGGAGUCCAGUUCAAAACAGUGCCUGGCCUUGGACAUAACUGCUCUUUCCCUGUGUAACUAUGAAUUCUGUGGGGAGAAAAUCCAUCUCCUUCACCAUUUUGCAACAUUUAAUUGUCCUCAACAACCAACUCUUCUUUGAGGCCCAGUUCUACCACAUUUUCCCUGGAUCACCUCCAAUAUUUCCAUGACAGAAAAGCUCAUUCAGAACCAUGCUCAAGGAAGCUGCUGUGUGUCAGAGUGAAGAACACACCAGUGAAAUAUGUUCCCCCCUGUGUAGAGCAGCUCAAGCUCCUGAAGUACAAGCACUUAAAUUAGGAGCAAGUGCUACUUUAUAAAAUCAGGGCAAUAUUUCCAGCCUCUGAAAUGCACAUGGCUGUCUCUGUUUUGGCAGAGACAAUCUCUGCACUGUUCCAAACUAAAUUCAUUAUUAGAACCGAACCAGAUAAGAUUCAAAAUGAAAUCCACCUCUGCCUUUCUCUGCACACCUGAAUUUUUGUAGGCAAUUCCUUCAAACAUGGUAUUCCCCAAAGGAGGUCAAUUUUGUUAACAUGGUUUUCUAAAUAGCCCAAGUUCUUUAGAAAAGCUGUGGUUCAUGUUUUUCCAUGGAAGAAAAUAGUUUGGGAAUCCACUGGGUCCUAUGAACUGCC
Long non-coding RNA from Serinus canaria (Common canary), 838 nucleotides. RefSeq lists it as uncharacterized. The record is from RefSeq and is a predicted model, not a curated record. The transcript has 3 exons. NCBI's taxonomy places the organism in Eukaryota, Metazoa, Chordata, Aves, Passeriformes, Fringillidae.